Molecule: non-coding RNA, 1490 nt
Organism: Nothobranchius furzeri (turquoise killifish)
Lineage: Eukaryota; Metazoa; Chordata; Actinopteri; Cyprinodontiformes; Nothobranchiidae
Source: RefSeq, a predicted model, not a curated record
CCACACACAGCUCAAAACUGUUCCUCGUUUUAAGGAAGGGUGGUGUGGCAGUAUUUAAACCCAGGAGCUGAUGACACUACUGCUAAAAAAACACAGAAGAAAAAGUAGUGUGUUUGUGUUUGUGUGUGUGUGUGUGCGCGCGCGCGCGUGCGCGUAGCUCGUUCGUUCCUGUCUCCAGGCUAGUAAGUACUGAGGGCUUCAUCUAUCUAAAAGGAGUCAUUUGCAUCUGAAUGUGGCAGCACCGGGACACAGCAGCAGAGCGAGUCAACAUCCAGAAGACUGGAGCCGUGUUUCACUGACAGGCUGUCAGACUAAAGCCCUGAUGAGCUCAGCUGGGACAAACUGGUCUGAUGUUUAGGAACACAGAACGUUCAGAUGUUGGCAUUUCACGUCACCUACUGAGGAAGGAGACCCACCAGUAAAGAGACGGUCUGGACCAGACCAAAAAUAUGGCGAUGACAUCAUGGAACUGGUCUUUGGAAAAGUUUUCCCUGAACCAACUCCUUUUCUAGAUGAGGUAGAGAAGAUCUGCAUCUCACCAACCCUCUGGUCUCAGUAUUCAGACAACGGAGGUCUCCCACUGUUAUCCAGGACCAGUUUGAAGCCCACAUACUGCCCCUCCCUCAUCAUCAGGAAACAUCAAUCCGUAUCCUGAGGACAACAGAAGACGGCAGGAGGACAGGAACUCUGAGACCUAGACACCACCAGCACCGAGACACAAAGCACCUGUGUGCACAACGCCUGUUUAACUACUAAAGCCUGUUUAUUAUAUAGUUCUACUUAUUUGCUGUGAGGUUAAUACUUAGAAAAUUUGUAUAUUAAUGUAAAUAAUUUAAAAAAAUCACUGAUUGUAUGUUUUCUUUUAGAUGUAAUGGUCCAAACUCCGCCUUGUAGACAUUUAUUGCAUCCUGUAGGUAAAUACACAGAACAGGCUCAGAUCCAGGAUGACCCAGCAUGCUCUUCUUCCAUUCUGGCUGUUAGGGAUUUUAUCAAUAACUCAAUGCCUACUGAUGUUUUCACCUAACGGUAUUUAUUUAGAAUGCAGGUAAGAUUUAACUAUAUUUGUUAGCAAAGCAGACUGAUCUUGGGAAUUUCACUGCAGCACUGAUGUCCACCUCUCUGUACACAUUAGAGAGAAUUACCACUUUUCAGCUAAACACAUUUAAUAAAGAUAUAGGCUACGCAUUGCAGACAAUAAAAACAAAGUUGUAAGCAUUAGAAUUAUAAUGAUCACAUUAAAGAACAUUUGGAGGAAUGUUCUUUAUUUUUGACUCGAAUCUCAAAUCUUUAAAUUAAAAUGUAACUGCUUUUUAUCCAUUUUCAGCCAUUAAGACACCCAAUAUAAAAUAAGACUACUUAUAAAAUUAUUUAUAAUUAUAUGUAUGUAUAUAUAGAUAGAGAUCUUAAUAAAAUGUAUUCUUUUAAUGGUGUUUUAAUGAGCUGUAUCAUUUUUUAAAACAUUUUUUAUAGAAAUAAAUAAGCAAGCAGCA